UGCCUUGUUUGACUUUGGGCUUUGCCUUUCCAGUGUAAAUCUGUACUUCCGGAAUAUGAGUAAUGAUUUGGAGGCCUACACCAAUCAUGCUAGACGGAAGACUAUAGAGCCUGCUGAUUUAGAGCUUCUCAUGCGACGCCAAAGACUGAUAACAGACAAGAUGCCUUUAAAUGUGCUGAUAGAGCGCCACUUGCCUCUUGAAUACAGAAAGCUGCUCAUUCCUGUUGCCACCGCUGGAAACAAAGUAGUCCCACCAAAGCCAUUAUGAGAUGUUAGCAAUGUAUCCUGAGGCUAAAAACAUCAUGUUCAGUUUAGGGAAGGAAACAUCAAUCCAGCUAGUUCUACCAGCUACCUCUUGCACUGAGGGAAAAUGGAAACUUCAAUGCUAUAUAAAGUUUAUAGUCGUAGUAAAAGUUUAUGAACAAA
Molecule: non-coding RNA, 426 nt
Organism: Pogona vitticeps (central bearded dragon)
Lineage: Eukaryota; Metazoa; Chordata; Lepidosauria; Squamata; Agamidae
Source: RefSeq, a predicted model, not a curated record